UAUUUAGUUUUUGGCUUCGAGAUAUCGGGGCUGCAGUGAAGACCAAAAGAGUUUUGUUCUGUGAGUUUUGAAUCAUCUGUGGGUCUUGUAGCAA
Telopea speciosissima is the source of this 94-nucleotide long non-coding RNA. RefSeq lists it as uncharacterized. Lineage: Eukaryota; Viridiplantae; Streptophyta; Magnoliopsida; Proteales; Proteaceae. The record is from RefSeq and is a predicted model, not a curated record. The transcript has 4 exons.